CCUACGGGCGGCAGCAGUGAGGAAUAUUGGUCAAUGGACGCGAGCCUGAACCAGCCAAGUAGCGUGAAGGAUGACUGCCCUACGGGUUGUAAACUUCUUUUAUAAAGGAAUAAAAUGAGGCACGUGUGCCAUUUUGUAUGUACUAUAUGAAUAAGGAUCGGCUAACUCCGUGCCAGCAGCCGCGGUAAUACGGAGGAUCCGAGCGUUAUCCGGAUUUAUUGGGUUUAAAGGGAGCGUAGAUGGGUUGUUAAGUCAGUUGUGAAAGUUUGCGGCUCAACCGUAAAAUUGCAGUUGAAACUGGCAGCCUUGAGUACAGUUGAGGUAGGCGGAAUUCGUGGUGUAGCGGUGAAAUGCUUAGAUAUCACGAAGAACUCCGAUUGCGAAGGCAGCUCACUAAACUGCCACUGACACUGAUGCUCGAAAGUGUGGGUAUCAAACAGGAUUAGAUACCCGAGUAGUC
This 460-nucleotide ribosomal RNA is filed under the name uncultured bacterium. RNAcentral's name for it is "partial 16S ribosomal RNA". It matches the Rfam family "Bacterial small subunit ribosomal RNA", at positions 338 to 795 of the family's 1533-position model. The record is from RNAcentral.